CAUUUGAAAGGAAAAAAUGGCCUUUAUUGAGAAAAGUAAGAUAAAAACAUUUCCAUACAUGAUCAUGUGAAAUAGCAUUCAAAAUGGAAAUUAAUCGUAUGUUUUAAGUUGAUUAAAGAGUAAAAGAAAGGGUCUCUUUCAAGACAAGAGGGGACAAAAAAAGAAUGCUGUAUAAGAGCAACUGAAAACUAAGUAGGAACAGAUGUGCAUGCCUUUCCCUUUAAAGAGUCAGCACAGAAUUUAUAUUCUGACAUUUCCUUUAAGAACAGGUCAACAAAAGAAAAAUGAAAUAGUUGCAUAUUGUAAACUGGUCACAGUGACACUUGUGGAAAAUAUCAGAAGUAACAGUAAAUGGAAAAAUGCCCAAAAUGUAUGAAUCCAAGGG
Molecule: long non-coding RNA, 385 nt
Filed under: Bos taurus (domestic cattle)
Lineage: Eukaryota; Metazoa; Chordata; Mammalia; Artiodactyla; Bovidae
Description: long non-coding RNA NONBTAT025664
Source: RNAcentral